UACGUAGGUGGCAAGCGUUGUCCGGAUUUACUGGGCGUAAAGAGCGCGCAGGCGGUCGUUCAAGUCGCGUGUGAAAGCCCCCGGCUCAACUGGGGAGGGUCACGCGAUACUGAUCGACUCGAAGGCAGGAGAGGGAAGUGGAAUUCCCGGUGUAGUGGUGAAAUGCGUAGAUAUCGGGAGGAACACCAGUGGCGAAGGCGGCCACCUGGACGAACACUGACGCUGAGACGCGAAAGCGUGGGGAGCAAACAGG
This 253-nucleotide ribosomal RNA is filed under the name uncultured bacterium. RNAcentral describes it as "partial 16S ribosomal RNA". It matches the Rfam family "Bacterial small subunit ribosomal RNA", at positions 524 to 776 of the family's 1533-position model. The record is from RNAcentral.